UGGUGAUUUGGAUUCGGUGCCAUAGGAUGUGGGAUUACAGUGGAAAAACUCUAAGCUCUUAACGCAAUUAUGAGGUAAAGAGAAAUUCCAAACCUUGUGUCUUAUGGAUGCGAUCUAUGAUUAUUUUUAGGUUAGUUGAAGAAUUGGGUCAAAACUCAAAUUGGGUCUCUGUAUUUACAGAUUUUUCUUUAUAUUUCUUUAUAAAAAUCCAUGCUUUUUUUUCCCCUUCUUCUUCUUCCCCGAAGUCUGGCGUGCGGUUGAUUCCAUCACUCCCUGUCUGUCCGAGAUGGGUGUUCGAAAGGGCAAUGUGUCCUCCUCCUUUUCCCCAAUUACAUCUUCUUCCCAGUAAUUUGCCUCUCCGUCAUGUCUCUCGGUGCCAUCAUCACCACCACUAACCCUCUCAACACCCCUCGAGAUCCGAAAACAGAUCACCGAUUCCAAACCCAUCAUCGCCUUCACCACUCUCCCUAAACUCUCCGGCACGGGUCUUCCCGUCAUUCUUAUCGGACAACACGACAACCUCUCCAUUAAGCAAGCCAAGAUCGUCUCCUCGCUUGAAGAUACGAUGAAGAAGGAUCCAAGCGAAAUCGGAAACCGAGUCAGGGAACGAGUGAGACUAGACGAUACGGCAACGCUGCUCUACUCAUCUAGCACCACCGGCGCCAGCAACGGCGUGGUUUCGUCGCAUCGGAACCUGAUCGCGAUGGUUCAUAUGGUCCUGAACCCUUUCAGCAGGGAUUUGGCCGGAGAUGUGAGCUGCAAUGGCGAUGUAGAGGCUAGUGAUGCGGUUUGUACUGUUGGAGUUGUCACCGCACUUCUGAAACUGGUUUUUGACAGAAGAUAGAAGAAGAAGCAGAAGUGGGUAAAAUCGUUAUUUUCAUUUGAAAAACUAACACGGCGUUAGUUUGGAUGAAUUUAAAUGUAUUUUUUUUUUUAUUUUCAAGAGGGAUGAUGUAAUUUGAGCAAAUGAUAGAGGAGGUUGAUGUAAAUCACCCUAAUUACUUUAUCAAUUAGUGUAUAUGACCUAAAAUCAAAAACCACUCCCUCUGUUUUUUUUCA
Molecule: long non-coding RNA, 1059 nt
Organism: Macadamia integrifolia
Lineage: Eukaryota; Viridiplantae; Streptophyta; Magnoliopsida; Proteales; Proteaceae
Exons: 2
Source: RefSeq, a predicted model, not a curated record